UCAGUGUGUGUGUUAGUGGAAGCGUCUGGAAAGGCGCGCGAUACAGGGUGACAGCCCCGUACACAAAAAUGCACAUGCUGUGAGCUCGAUGAGUAGGGCGGGACACGUGGUAUCCUGUCUGAAUAUGGGGGGACCAUCCUCCAAGGCUAAAUACUCCUGACUGACCGAUAGUGAACCAGUACCGUGAGGGAAAGGCGAAAAGAACCCCGGCGAGGGGAGUGAAAAAGAACCUGAAACCGUGUACGUACAAGCAGUGGGAGCCUCUUAAUGGGGUGACUGCGUACCUUUUGUAUAAUGGGUCAGCGACUUAUAUUCUGUAGCAAGGUUAACCGAAUAGGGGAGCCGAAGGGAAACCGAGUCUUAACUGGGCGUUAAGUUGCAGGGUAUAGACCCGAAACCCGGUGAUCUAGCCAUGGGCAGGUUGAAGGUUGGGUAACACUAACUGGAGGACCGAACCGACUAAUGUUGAAAAAUUAGCGGAUGACUUGUGGCUGGGGGUGAAAGGCCAAUCAAACCGGGAGAUAGCUGGUUCUCCCCGAAAGCUAUUUAGGUAGCGCCUCGUGAAUUCAUCUCCGGGGGUAGAGCACUGUUUCGGCAAGGGGGUCAUCCCGACUUACCAACCCGAUGCAAACUGCGAAUACCGGAGAAUGUUAUCACGGGAGACACACGGCGGGUGCUAACGUCCGUCGUGAAGAGGGAAACAACCCAGACCGCCAGCUAAGGUCCCAAAGUCAUGGUUAAGUGGGAAACGAUGUGGGAAGGCCCAGACAGCCAGGAUGUUGGCUUAGAAGCAGCCAUCAUUUAAAGAAAGCGUAAUAGCUCACUGGUCGAGUCGGCCUGCGCGGAAGAUGUAACGGGGCUAAACCAUGCACCGAAGCUGCGGCAGCGACACUAUGUGUUGUUGGGUAGGGGAGC
RNAcentral lists this ribosomal RNA (915 nucleotides) under Escherichia coli. RNAcentral describes it as "partial 23S ribosomal RNA". It matches the Rfam family "Bacterial large subunit ribosomal RNA", at positions 317 to 1237 of the family's 2925-position model. Lineage: Bacteria; Pseudomonadati; Pseudomonadota; Gammaproteobacteria; Enterobacterales; Enterobacteriaceae. The record is from RNAcentral.